RNAcentral lists this ribosomal RNA (497 nucleotides) under uncultured bacterium. RNAcentral's name for it is "partial 16S ribosomal RNA". It matches the Rfam family "Bacterial small subunit ribosomal RNA", at positions 28 to 507 of the family's 1533-position model. The record is from RNAcentral.
GAUGAACGCUGGCGGCGUGCCUAAUACAUGCAAGUCGAGCGAACGGGCGAGAAGCUUGCUUCUCUGAUGUUAGCGGCGGACGGGUGAGUAACACGUGGAUAACCUACCUAUAAGACUGGGAUAACUUCGGGAAACCGGAGCUAAUACCGGAUAAUAUUUUGAACCGCAUGGUUCAAAAGUGAAAAACGGUCUUGCUGUCACUUAUAGAUGGAACCGCGCUGCAUUAGCUAGUUGGUAAGGUAACGGCUUACCAAGGCAACGAUGCAUAGCCGACCUGAGAGGAUGAUCGGCCACACUGGAACUGAGACACGGUCCAGACUCCUACGGGAGGCAGCAGUAGGGAAUCUUCCGCAAUGGGCGAAAGCCUGACGGAGCAACGCCGCGUGAGUGAUGAAGGUCUUCGGAUCGUAAAACUCUGUUAGUAGGGAAGAACAUAUGUGUAAGUAACUGUGCACAUCUUGACGGUACCUAAUCAGAAAGCCACGGCUAACUACGUG